UAAUACGUAGGCAGCGAGCGUUGUUCGGAGUUACUGGGCGUAAAGGGUGUGUAGGCGGUUCUCUAAGUCUGGUGUGAAAUCUCCCGGCUCAACUGGGAGGGUGCGCCGGAAACUGGGGGGCUAGAGUGCGGGAUGGGAGAGUGGAAUUCCUGGUGUAGCGGUGAAAUGCGUAGAUAUCAGGAGGAACACCGGCGGUGUAGACGGCUCUCUGGACCGUAACUGACGCUGAAACACGAAAGCGUGGGUAGCAAACAGGAUUAGAUACCCUGGUAGUCCACGCCCUAAACGAUGCACAUUUGGUGUGGGUCAUUCAGUUGAUCCGUGCCGGAGCUAACGCGUUAAAUGUGCCGCCUGGGGAGUACGGUCGCAAGGCUG
This 375-nucleotide ribosomal RNA is filed under the name uncultured bacterium. RNAcentral's name for it is "bacterial SSU rRNA". It matches the Rfam family "Bacterial small subunit ribosomal RNA", at positions 521 to 896 of the family's 1533-position model. The record is from RNAcentral.